RNAcentral lists this ribosomal RNA (253 nucleotides) under uncultured bacterium. RNAcentral describes it as "partial 16S ribosomal RNA". It matches the Rfam family "Bacterial small subunit ribosomal RNA", at positions 524 to 776 of the family's 1533-position model. The record is from RNAcentral.
UACGUAGGUGGCAAGCGUUAUCCGGAUUUACUGGGUGUAAAGGGCGUGUAGGCGGGACUGCAAGUCAGAUGUGAAAACCACGGGCUCAACCUGUGGCCUGCAUUUGAAACUGUAGUUCUUGAGUACUGGAGAGGCAGACGGAAUUCCUAGUGUAGCGGUGAAAUGCGUAGAUAUUAGGAGGAACACCAGCGGCGAAGGCGGUCUGCUGGACAGCAACUGACGCUGAGGCGCGAAAGCGUGGGGAGCAAACAGG